AGCAGCCGCGGUAAUUCCAGCUCCAAUAGCGUAUAUUAAAGUUGUUGCAGUUAAAAAGCUCGUAGUUGAAUUUCGGGAUUCGUCCAUUGGUCAGGCUUAACUGUCUGUACUGGUGUGUCGGAUUUCUACCUUCUGAAGAACCUUUAUGCCAUUAAUUUGGUGUGUUGGGGAAUCAGGACUGUUACUUUGAAAAAAUUAGAGUGUUUAAAGCAGGCUAACGUCUGAAUACAUUAGCAUGGAAUAAUGAAAUAGGACGGUACGGUUCUAUUUUGUUGGUUUCUAGGAUCGCCGUAAUGAUUAAUAGGGAUAGUUGGGGGCAUUAGUAUUCAAUUGUCAGAGGUGAAAUUCUUGGAUUUAUUGAAGACUAACUACUGCGAAAGCAUUUGCCAAGGAUGUUUUCAUUAAUCAAGAACGAAAGUUAGGGGAUCGAAGACGAUCAGAUACCGUCGUAGUCUUAACCAUAAACUAUGCCGACUAGGGAUUGGACGAUGUUAAUUUUUUAAUGACUCG
RNAcentral lists this ribosomal RNA (510 nucleotides) under uncultured Diversisporaceae. Its description in RNAcentral is "SSU rRNA". It matches the Rfam family "Eukaryotic small subunit ribosomal RNA", at positions 569 to 1078 of the family's 1831-position model. Lineage: Eukaryota; Fungi; Glomeromycota; Glomeromycetes; Diversisporales. The record is from RNAcentral.